GGGUCAGCGACUUAUAUUCUGUAGCAAGGUUAACCGAAUAGGGGAGCCGAAGGGAAACCGAGUCUUAACUGGGCGUUAAGUUGCAGGGUAUAGACCCGAAACCCGGUGAUCUAGCCAUGGGCAGGUUGAAGGUUGGGUAACACUAACUGGAGGACCGAACCGACUAAUGUUGAAAAAUUAGCGGAUGACUUGUGGCUGGGGGUGAAAGGCCAAUCAAACCGGGAGAUAGCUGGUUCUCCCCGAAAGCUAUUUAGGUAGCGCCUCGUGAAUUCAUCUCCGGGGGUAGAGCACUGUUUCGGCAAGGGGGUCAUCCCGACUUACCAACCCGAUGCAAACUGCGAAUACCGGAGAAUGUUAUCACGGGAGACACACGGCGGGUGCUAACGUCCGUCGUGAAGAGGGAAACAACCCAGACCGCCAGCUAAGGUCCCAAAGUCAUGGUUAAGUGGGAAACGAUGUGGGAAGGCCCAGACAGCCAGGAUGUUGGCUUAGAAGCAGCCAUCAUUUAAAGAAAGCGUAAUAGCUCACUGGUCGAGUCGGCCUGCGCGGAAGAUGUAACGGGGCUAAACCAUGCACCGAAGCUGCGGCAGCGACACUGUGUGUUGUUGGGUAGGGGAGCGUUCUGUAAGCCUGUGAAGGUGUCUGUGAGGAUGCUGGAGGUAUCAGAAGUGCGAAUGCUGACAUAAGUAACGAUAAAGCGGGUGAAAAGCCCGCUCGCCGGAAGACCAAGGGUUCCUGUCCAACGUUAAUCGGGGCAGGGUGAGUCGACCCCUAAGGCGAGGCCGAAAGGCGUAGUCGAUGGGAAACAGGUUAAUAUUCCUGUACUUGGUGUUACUGCGAAGGGGGGACGGAGAAGGCUAUGUUGGCCGGGCGACGGUUGUCCCGGUUUAAGCGUGUAGGCUGGUUUUCCAGGCAAAUCCGGAAAAUCAAGGCUGAGGCGUGAUGACGAGGCACUACGGUGCUGAAGCAACAAAUGCCCUGCUUCCAGGAAAAGCCUCUAAGCAUCAGGUAACAUCAAAUCGUACCCCAAACCGACACAGGUGGUCAGGUAGAGAAUACCAAGGCGCUUGAGAGAACUCGGGUGAAGGAACUAGGCAAAAUGGUGCCGUAACUUCGGGAGAAGGCACGCUGAUAUGUAGGUGAAGUCCCUCGCGGAUGGAGCUGAAAUCAGUCGAAGAUACCAGCUGGCUGCAACUGUUUAUUAAAAACACAGCACUGUGCAAACACGAAAGUGGACGUAUACGGUGUGACGCCUGCCCGGUGCCGGAAGGUUAAUUGAUGGGGUCAGCGCAAGCGAAGCUCUUGAUCGAAGCCCCGGUAAACGGCGGCCGUAACUAUAACGGUCCUAAGGUAGCGAAAUUCCUUGUCGGGUAAGUUCCGACCUGCACGAAUGGCGUAAUGAUGGCCAGGCUGUCUCCACCCGAGACUCAGUGAAAUUGAACUCGCUGUGAAGAUGCAGUGUACCCGCGGCAAGACGGAAAGACCCCGUGAACCUUUACUAUAGCUUGACACUGAACAUUGAGCCUUGAUGUGUAGGAUAGGUGGGAGGCUUUGAAGUGUGGACGCCAGUCUGCAUGGAGCCGACCUUGAAAUACCACCCUUUAAUGUUUGAUGUUCUAACGUGGACCCGUGAUCCGGGUUGCGGACAGUGUCUGGUGGGUAGUUUGACUGGGGCGGUCUCCUCCUAAAGAGUAACGGAGGAGCACGAAGGUUGGCUAAUCCUGGUCGGACAUCAGGAGGUUAGUGCAAUGGCAUAAGCCAGCUUGACUGCGAGCGUGACGGCGCGAGCAGGUGCGAAAGCAGGUCAUAGUGAUCCGGUGGUUCUGAAUGGAAGGGCCAUCGCUCAACGGAUAAAAGGUACUCCGGGGAUAACAGGCUGAUACCGCCCAAGAGUUCAUAUCGACGGCGGUGUUUGGCACCUCGAUGUCGGCUCAUCACAUCCUGGGGCUGAAGUAGGUCCCAAGGGUAUGGCUGUUCGCCAUUUAAAGUGGUACGCGAGCUGGGUUUAGAACGUCGUGAGACAGUUCGGUCCCUAUCUGCCGUGGGCGCUGGAGAACUGAGGGGGGCUGCUCCUAGUACGAGAGGACCGGAGUGGACGCAUCACUGGUGUUCGGGUUGUCAUGCCAAUGGCACUGCCCGGUAGCUAAAUGCGGAAGAGAUAAGUGCUGAAAGCAUCUAAGCACGAAACUUGCCCCGAGAUGAGUUCUCCCUGACCCUUUAAGGGUCCUGAAGGAACGUUGAAGACGACGACGUUGAUAGGCCGGGUGUGUAAGCGCAGCGAUGCGUUGAGCUAACCGGUACUAAUGAACCGUGAGGCUUAACCU
RNAcentral lists this ribosomal RNA (2324 nucleotides) under Escherichia coli 97.1742. RNAcentral's name for it is "bacterial LSU rRNA". It matches the Rfam family "Bacterial large subunit ribosomal RNA", at positions 617 to 2925 of the family's 2925-position model. The record is from RNAcentral. Lineage: Bacteria; Pseudomonadati; Pseudomonadota; Gammaproteobacteria; Enterobacterales; Enterobacteriaceae.